This 253-nucleotide ribosomal RNA is filed under the name uncultured bacterium. RNAcentral describes it as "partial 16S ribosomal RNA". It matches the Rfam family "Bacterial small subunit ribosomal RNA", at positions 524 to 776 of the family's 1533-position model. The record is from RNAcentral.
UACGGAGGGUGCAAGCGUUAUCCGGAUUCACUGGGUUUAAAGGGUGCGUAGGUGGGCAAGUAAGUCCGUGGUGAAAUCUCUGAGCUUAACUCAGAAACUGCCGUGGAUACUAUUUGUCUUGAAUAUUGUGGAGGUGAGCGGAAUAUGUCAUGUAGCGGUGAAAUGCUUAGAUAUGACAUAGAACACCAAUUGCGAAGGCAGCUCACUACACAAUUAUUGACGCUGAGGCACGAAAGCGUGGGGAUCAAACAGG